CUCAAGCGAGAGCUUGGUAAGGGUAGAGGGCAGCAGCAGUUUGGCCUCAUUUUGUCUGCUGUAAAUCAAUUCCAUCGUCCCCUCAUGCGCCUCCAACCAUCUCUCCCAGACAGCGGUUAUAUCCACGUUGGCGGCAGGUGCGCUCUUAUUAUGCUCUGCAGAGCUAGCUUCAUUACUUGAGUCAUUCGUUGCGGCUUUGGAAUUCAUCAUUGCUUUUUCAUUGUUGACUAAGGGCCGUUGAUAUAGGAAGAUAGACCAUGUCUCCAUCCUUUUAGUCAUGAUCAUUAGUCCUUUUUCAUUGUUGACUGAGGACUCCCGAUCUUGCUGCAGAAACCAUUUCGGCAUCCUUUUGCUCAUGACCUGCUUCAUGGAUGUCUUCUCUUCUUGGCUCAUCUGCAGGUCUUCAUUUGUUACGAGGGUGAGAAACGGCGUACGAAAUAUUGCAUUCCUCAAGCCGACCAAGUCGGUAAGGUGUGCAGGAAGUGAGCUAGCGUUUUCUACUCCCAACACCUGUAGCUGAUACAGAGUGGACACCGACUUCGGCAGCACGAACUUGCCAGUACUUGAAACUUGCAGGAUGCGAAGGUGCUUCAUUUCGCUUAUAAACUUUGAUGUCAGUUUUUCCAGAUUUAACCCCAAAGCCUGUAGCACGCGCAACUUUUUUAAGCUCUUGAAGAUGCUGGUCGCAACAUUUUUGUCUGAGACGACGCUUUGUCCUUUCGUGACGAUUAGGGUGCGAAGUUUCUUCAGUUUGCAAAUUUCCUCCUUCUUCUCAUUCAGUUUGUCAGCCGGUAUGCACAGAUGGCGAAUAGUCGACGGGAUCUCGCUUUGACAAUUACCUUCUAUUCUAACACAGUCACUGCGAGAAACUUUUUCUGCUAGAUCAUACAGCAAUUCAUGCAACGUGUAGCAGCAGACAAGCUUACCUGUCCCAGAGGAGUGGCAGAAUCUUUUAUGACGCUGAAUGUAGAAUCUGGACACCAAAUCUUUUAGGUCGCCUGCAUCCUCCAUCCUCUCAUUCCGAUCAUCCAGCUUGAUAAAACCUUGCGCCAUCCAGAGCCGAACCAGUUCUAAAGCUUUGAACUUGUAUCCUCUAGGAUACAGGCGACAGUAUGAGAAGCAACGCUUGAGAUGUGCCGGCAAAUGCCGGAAGCUCCACAUCAGUGCUUUGGUUUUGCCGCCGGACCAGUCCUCGUCUGUAAUCGUUUCCAAAUAUUCAUGCAAAUAUUCAUGCAAAUUAUCAUGCAAAUUAUCUUGGAGACUGGCCAGCUUCUUAGCGAUCGUCUUGCCGACCAUCUUGGCCGCCGUAGGGUCCUUGUUCAACUUCGCAGCCAUUGUCCUGCAUUUCUCUUUUAAAUCUUCUCUUAGGUGAGAAUCGCAUUGCCACAAUGCGUGGUGAAUGAAAAGAUCUGAGAAGUCAUUGUCUGCUAAAUCUUCCAAAUGGCAAACGUAUUCCACAGAAGCACCAUUAGGAGCAACAGUAAUAUUUCUCGGACGAUGAUCGUCCGUUUGAGACGUGAUUUCCGUUUGAGACGUGAUUUUUGUUUGAGACGUAACUAAAAUCUUGCUCCCUGGCAGACAACAACAUGUGCUUAAACAUCUCAAUAGCACAUCCCAAUUCUCCUCGCGGUCUUCUCCAUCCCGAUUCUCCUUGCGGUCUUCUCCAUCCCGAUUCUCCUUGCGGUCUUCUCCGUCGAAC
Molecule: long non-coding RNA, 1699 nt
Filed under: Ananas comosus (pineapple)
Lineage: Eukaryota; Viridiplantae; Streptophyta; Magnoliopsida; Poales; Bromeliaceae
Description: long non-coding RNA (ACOM_LNC017240)
Source: RNAcentral